GGUUAGGACCCACGUUGGCUGUGGUUCUGUGGAGCUGAAUCUCUGCAUCCCUUAGAACAUUUUAUCUUGGAUCAUUUUGAAGGGACUGAAAUGCUGCCCCCUAGGUGGUGUUACAUCGUGUUGAUGAAGCCGGCUGGACUUUAUCGUGUGCCGUGGGGAUGGGAUCCCAUUGUGCCGGCUUUCGUAGUGCACAGAGAGGGACGAGCAGCACCAGAUUUCCUUCAUCUGCAGUUCGGUUCAGAUGAUGUCUCCGUGCGCGGACUGCGUGAGGACUGAGGGAGAGUCGAGGUGUGUGGUGCAAGUGUAGAAACAGUGGAAACGGCCGGGCAAGGGCUGUGAGGCCCGGAGUUCAGCAGUUGCAGUCAACUGCUGCUGAUUUCUAUUGACCGAGGGGAAGAAGAGCCAUGGCGAGUCUGUAUUUGGCAUUGAGUCUUCUCCCAUUUUAGCUCUGAAAGAUCCAAAUCCAUAUUUGAGCUGCCGUAACAAAGUCCCUCGACCUGGGUGGCUGAUACACUAUAGAAAUUUAGGUCUCCCAGUUCUGGAGGCAGGAAGGCCAAGACUGGGUGCGGCCCAUGUGGUGGCUGGUUCUGUGGGGCCCACUGAGUGCUCAUGUGGUGGAAGGGAGGAGGAAGUCUUUUGUGACAACACGAAUUCCUUUCAUGUCCCACUACUGUCACCUUGAAGGUUAGAAUCCAACCCGCAUGUGGUGGAGGCAGGCAUGGGAAACACAAACAUUCGGAUCGUAGCAGUCAACUGAACAGCUCUCUGCUGGUAGGAAGGAGGAAGGGGAAGGCUGUGACCCUGCAGGCAACACAGAUGUGUGCUGGGGCAGAAAUGCGAAGCGAUGUUCAUGUUGAACUGCGGGAAGGUCAGUCACAGAUGACUUCAGUCUCUAGGAAUCUGUCCAAGUCAGAUGGCAAAGAAAGCCAUGAAGGCAAAGCAUUUCCUACAAGAAUUCUGGGAAGAAGUUUGAUUGGAUGGUGUGGACCAGGUGUCCACAGCCCGGCUUUUUGCCAUGAGCGGAACCAAC
Molecule: long non-coding RNA, 1030 nt
Filed under: Fukomys damarensis (Damara mole-rat)
Lineage: Eukaryota; Metazoa; Chordata; Mammalia; Rodentia; Bathyergidae
Description: lncRNA (ENSFDAG00000026782.1)
Source: RNAcentral